RNAcentral lists this ribosomal RNA (550 nucleotides) under uncultured bacterium. RNAcentral's name for it is "bacterial SSU rRNA". It matches the Rfam family "Bacterial small subunit ribosomal RNA", at positions 355 to 896 of the family's 1533-position model. The record is from RNAcentral.
UAGGGAAUCUUCCGCAAUGGGCGAAAGCCUGACGGAGCAACGCCGCGUGAGUGAUGAAGGUCUUCGGAUCGUAAAACUCUGUUAUCAGGGAAGAACAAAUGUGUAAGUAACUGUGCACAUCUUGACGGUACNNGAUCGGAAAGCCACGGCNAACUACGUGCCAGCAGCCGCGGUAAUACGUAGGUGGCAAGCGUUAUCCGGAAUUAUUGGGCGUAAAGCGCGCGUAGGCGGUUUUUUAAGUCUGAUGUGAAAGCCCACGGCUCAACCGUGGAGGGUCAUUGGAAACUGGAAAACUUGAGUGCAGAAGAGGAAAGUGGAAUUCCAUGUGUAGCGGUGAAAUGCGCAGAGAUAUGGAGGAACACCAGUGGCGAAGGCGACUUUCUGGUCUGUAACUGACGCUGAUGUGCGAAAGCGUGGGGAUCAAACAGGAUUAGAUACCCUGGUAGUCCACGCCGUAAACGAUGAGUGGUAAGUGUUAGGGGGUUUCCGCCCCUUAGUGCCGCAGCUAACGCAUUAAGCACUCCGCCUGGGGAGCACGACCGCAAGGUUG